GAGUUUGAUCUUGGCUCAGAGCGAACGUUAGCGGCACGCCUAACACAUGCAAGUCGCACGAGAAAGGGAGCAAUCCUGAGUAGAGUGGCGCACGGGUGCGUAACACGUAGAUAACCUGCCCUUUGGAGGGGGAUAACGUUCCGAAAGGAGCGCUAAUACCGCAUAAAGCUGUUUCCGGUUUGCCGGAGAUUGACAAAGGUAGGGACCCGCAAGGGCCUAUCGCCAGAGGAGGGGUCUGCGGCCCAUCAGCUAGUUGGGGAGGUAAUGGCGUCACCAAGGCAGAGACGGGUAGCUGGUCUGAGAGGAUGAUCAGCCACACUGGUACUGGAACACGGACCAGACUCCUACGGAGGGCAGCAGUGGGGAAUCUUGGUCAAUGGGCGCAAGCCUGAACCAGCGAUGCCGCGUGAGUGAUGAAGGCC
This 422-nucleotide ribosomal RNA is filed under the name uncultured bacterium. Its description in RNAcentral is "bacterial SSU rRNA". It matches the Rfam family "Bacterial small subunit ribosomal RNA", at positions 9 to 416 of the family's 1533-position model. The record is from RNAcentral.